GGGUUACCUGCCUGUAAGACUGGGAUAACUCCGGGAAACCGGAGCUAAUACCGGAUAGUUCCUUGAACCGCAUGGUUCAAGGAUGAAAGACGGUUUCGGCUGUCACUUACAGAUGGACCCGCGGCGCAUUAGCUAGUUGGUGGGGUAAUGGCUCACCAAGGCGACGAUGCGUAGCCGACCUGAGAGGGUGAUCGGCCACACUGGGACUGAGACACGGCCCAGACUCCUACGGGAGGCAGCAGUAGGGAAUCUUCCGCAAUGGACGAAAGUCUGACGGAGCAACGCCGCGUGAGUGAUGAAGGUUUUCGGAUCGUAAAGCUCUGUUGUUAGGGAAGAACAAGUGCGAGAGUAACUGCUCGCACCUUGACGGUACCUAACCAGAAAGCCACGGCUAACUACGUGCCAGCAGCCGCGGUAAUACAUAGGUGGCAAGCGUUGUCCAGAAUUAUUGGGCGUA
RNAcentral lists this ribosomal RNA (457 nucleotides) under Bacillus sp. (in: firmicutes). Its description in RNAcentral is "bacterial SSU rRNA". It matches the Rfam family "Bacterial small subunit ribosomal RNA", at positions 119 to 562 of the family's 1533-position model. The record is from RNAcentral. Lineage: Bacteria; Bacillati; Bacillota; Bacilli; Caryophanales; Bacillaceae.